AGGAGCUACACCAUCACGAAAUUAGCGCCAUUCGCAGAAAGCGUGGUAGACCAUCAGGCCAUAACAGACUGCCGUUGGGUUUGGAGCAGCGCCGAGCCCAAAACGCUCAAUACGAACGGGAAAGAAGAGAAGAAGAAAGAGCUGGUUUUGCUGAACUAGCUGAAGCUCUUUCUGGUGAUCCUUCUUGGUCAAAAAUUCAAAUACUUGGUGAGGCGAUA
Aricia agestis (brown argus) is the source of this 218-nucleotide long non-coding RNA. RefSeq lists it as uncharacterized. Lineage: Eukaryota; Metazoa; Arthropoda; Insecta; Lepidoptera; Lycaenidae. The record is from RefSeq and is a predicted model, not a curated record. The transcript has 3 exons.